Hypanus sabinus (Atlantic stingray) is the source of this 1173-nucleotide long non-coding RNA. RefSeq lists it as uncharacterized. The record is from RefSeq and is a predicted model, not a curated record. NCBI's taxonomy places the organism in Eukaryota, Metazoa, Chordata, Chondrichthyes, Myliobatiformes, Dasyatidae. The transcript is spliced from 3 exons.
AAGUCAUGAAUCACUGGUUUACACAGAAACACAGUAAGGGUUGACCAUUCAGUCCUCAGAGCCUGCUCCACUGCUCAAUACAAUGAUAGCUGAUUAUCCAAAUUCUGUAUCCUGAUUCUCCUUCUGUAAGUGUUUGUGGGAGGUGUACCAUGCCGGCCGUUCAUUGGUGCAUUUAUAAGCUGUAGCAGCUCUUCCAGUUGGUUGCCUUGUGUGCCACUCCUCCGGUGUCUGCCUUCAGUCACCCGGGGUAUGCAGGAAACUAACCCCACACACUUUCCCUUUGUCUGGGCAAGCUGCACAGAACCACGCGAAAGGUGUUCCAGCUUCCUCCCACAUCCCAAGAACGUGUAGUUGUGUCGAUUAACUGGCCAUUAUAAGUGUUGCAGGUCGAGUUGCUAACUCGAUGCUCAACCCAGCACAGAUGAAAAAUGUGCAAGGAGCCAUCCGGAUUCGAAUCUGGGAUCACUCGCCUCGAAGUCCAGUGCAGAUGCCACUACACCACCCGCCAGAUUACAAUACAUAUUAAUGCUAUACAAAUCUCCUCUUAGCCUCACCAUUCCCUUUCUCUGUAGUCUACUCCAAUCCUACAACAUUCCAGUCUCAAUGCUCCUCCAAUUCUGUAGUCUAAUUCUGGAGUCUGCAGUCUAUUCUAAUCCUACAUUCCAGUAUCUCAAUGCUCCUCCAAUUCUGUAGUCUGUAGUCUGCAAUCUACUCUAAUCCUACAACAUUCCAGUACCUCAAUAUUCCCCCAAUUCUGACUUGAACAUUUCACUGGAGAAAAUGCUGGAGGUAUCAAAACCAAAACUCUGGGACCACAUUCCACCUUCCACUUGCUUUUCAUUUGCCUAUAAAGCAUAUAUCUCUGACCAAGCUACAAAAAUUCAGACCUUCAAGAGGCUUUAACCUGAAGCACUAAAUUUCCAGAUUCUGCAGAUCUGCUGAGUGAUUCCAGCAUUCUGUUUUUAUUUUAGAUUUCCAGCAUAUGCAGGUGUCCUGGUUUUUGACCUCAACGUGACUGCCAUAGAUUGGCUUGCUGUUUUAAGAUUGUUAUGUACAUGGAAGUGCUUGCCUUUUUGAUGUCCUUCUACAUUGGAUGUCUCCUCUUUUUGGUCUAUCUGUCUCUCAAACUGGUGUCCCUCUCCAUCAAUCUCACUUAAUCAAAUAAAAGAUUAU